RNAcentral lists this ribosomal RNA (301 nucleotides) under uncultured bacterium. Its description in RNAcentral is "partial 16S ribosomal RNA". It matches the Rfam family "Bacterial small subunit ribosomal RNA", at positions 509 to 807 of the family's 1533-position model. The record is from RNAcentral.
CAGCCGCCGCGGGAAUACGGAGGGGGCUAGCGUUGUUCGGAAUUACUGGGCGUAAAGCGCACGUAGGCGGCUUGGUAAGUUAGAGGUGAAAGCCUGGAGCUCAACUCCAGAAUUGCCUUUAAGACUGCCGAGCUAGCAGGUGAGAGAGGUAAGUGGAAUUCCGAGUGUAGAGGUGAAAUUCGUAGAUAUUCGGAAGAACACCAGUGGCGAAGGCGGCUUACUGGCUCAUACUGGACGCUGAGGUGCGAAAGCGUGGGGAGCAAACAGGAUUAGAUACCCCAGUAGUCCCUGUCUCUUAUAC